RNAcentral lists this ribosomal RNA (253 nucleotides) under uncultured bacterium. Its description in RNAcentral is "partial 16S ribosomal RNA". It matches the Rfam family "Bacterial small subunit ribosomal RNA", at positions 524 to 776 of the family's 1533-position model. The record is from RNAcentral.
UACGAAGGGGGCUAGCGUUGCUCGGAAUUACUGGGUGUAAAGGGCGCGUAGGCGGAUAUCUAAGUUGGGGGUGAAAUCCCGGGGCUCAACCUCGGAAUUGCCUUCAAAACUGGAUAUCUUGAGUUCGGGAGAGGUGAGUGGAACUCCGAGUGUAGAGGUGAAAUUCGUAGAUAUUCGGAAGAACACCAGUGGCGAAGGCGACUCACUGGCCCGAUACUGACGCUGAGGCGCGAAAGCGUGGGGAGCGAACGGG